GAGGGUAUAGCUCAGUGAUAGAGUCCACACCUAGCACGCAUGAGGCCCUGGGUUCAAUCCCCAGUACCUUCA
Molecule: transfer RNA, 72 nt
Filed under: Camelus bactrianus (Bactrian camel)
Lineage: Eukaryota; Metazoa; Chordata; Mammalia; Artiodactyla; Camelidae
Also listed under: 3 other names
Rfam family: tRNA
About the family: Transfer RNA (tRNA) molecules are approximately 80 nucleotides in length. Their secondary structure includes four short double-helical elements and three loops (D, anti-codon, and T loops).
Source: Rfam by way of RNAcentral